RNAcentral lists this ribosomal RNA (324 nucleotides) under uncultured Chloroflexota bacterium. RNAcentral describes it as "bacterial SSU rRNA". It matches the Rfam family "Bacterial small subunit ribosomal RNA", at positions 28 to 351 of the family's 1533-position model. The record is from RNAcentral. Lineage: Bacteria; Bacillati; Chloroflexota.
GAUAAACGCUGGCGGCGUGCCUAAUACAUGCAAGUCGAACGGAGGUAUGUAGCAAUACGUGCCUUAGUGGCGAAUGGGUGAGUAACGCGUUGGUGACCUGCCCCGAAGAGGGGGAUAACGGUUCGAAAGGACUGCUAAUACCCCAUGUGGUCUCAGGGAUUAGAUGCCCUGAGUCUAAAGGAGUAAUCCACUUUGGGAGGGACCUGCGUCCCAUCAGCUAGUUGGUAAGGUAACGGCCUACCAAGGCUUCGACGGGUAGGGGACCUGAGAGGGUGGCCCCCCACAAUGGAACUGAAACACGGUCCAUACACCUACGGGAGGCUG